RNAcentral lists this ribosomal RNA (372 nucleotides) under uncultured organism. Its description in RNAcentral is "bacterial SSU rRNA". It matches the Rfam family "Bacterial small subunit ribosomal RNA", at positions 527 to 896 of the family's 1533-position model. The record is from RNAcentral.
CGGGGGAGCAAGCGUUGUUCGGAUUACUGGGCGUAAAGGGCGCGUAGGCGGCCACCGCAAGUCGACUGUGAAAUCUCUGGGCUUAACCCAGAAAGGUCAGCCGAUACUGCGGGGCUAGAGUGCAGAAGGGGCAACUGGAAUUCUCGGUGUAGCGGUGAAAUGCGUAGAUAUCGAGAGGAACACCUGCGGCGAAGGCGGGUUGCUGGGCUGACACUGACGCUGAAGCGCGAAAGCUAGGGGAGCGAACGGGAUUAGAUACCCCGGUAGUCCUAGCCUUAAACGAUGAAUGCUUGGUGUCUGGGGUUUUAUAGUCCCCGGGUGCCGUCGCUAACGCUUUAAGCAUUCCGCCUGGGGAGUACGGUCGCAAGACUG